Molecule: ribosomal RNA, 253 nt
Filed under: uncultured bacterium
Lineage: Bacteria
Description: partial 16S ribosomal RNA
Rfam family: Bacterial small subunit ribosomal RNA
Source: RNAcentral
UACAGGGGGGGCAAGCGUUGUUCGGAAUUACUGGGCGUAAAGGGCCCGUAGGUGGCCAACUAAGUCAGACGUGAAAUCCCUCAGCUUAACUGGGGAACUGCGUCUGAUACUGGAUGGCUUGAGUUUGGGAGAGGGAUGCGGAAUUCCAGGUGUAGCGGUGAAAUGCGUAGAUAUCUGGAGGAACACCGGUGGCGAAGGCGGCAUCCUGGACCAACACUGACACUGAGGAGCGAAAGCCAGGGGAGCAAACGGG